RNAcentral lists this transfer RNA (68 nucleotides) under Marmota monax (woodchuck). Its description in RNAcentral is "tRNA.Ala". The record is from RNAcentral. Lineage: Eukaryota; Metazoa; Chordata; Mammalia; Rodentia; Sciuridae.
CGCUGUAGCUCAGUGGUAGAGUGUUGCCUAGCAUGUGCCAGGUUCUGGGAUCAAUCCACAGUUGGUGA